Molecule: unclassified non-coding RNA, 477 nt
Filed under: Hevea brasiliensis (rubber tree)
Lineage: Eukaryota; Viridiplantae; Streptophyta; Magnoliopsida; Malpighiales; Euphorbiaceae
Source: RNAcentral
AAACAAAAGGGAAAACUCAAAUGUUAUAAUCAUCUAUGAUCAUGCGAAAGCGACGCUAGUGAGGAUUGGAUCAGGUUUUGCAUCCUAUCCCUCAAACUGGAUAUCGUAUUUACCAAUGGUUCAGACGAUCCCACCCCAUCUCUAAAGGAGGGGUUGCUGUCAUGUUGUUGUUGUAUUUGCCUCUCCAAAUACUUUGUGAGACAAGCACCUGCUAUGUUGAUUAAGCUAAGAGAAGGAUUUGAAUGCAUAAGCUUGGUAACAAGAAAUCCUGCUAAAACCUGCUGCCCUGACCUCACAAGCUCCGAGACGAAGCAGGGAAAGAUCAGUCUUGGGAAAAGAUCAAUAUAAUAUUUUGAAAUACUCUCACUUUCUGCAGAUUCACCACAUCCGGAACUUGAUAACUGGGACUCUUGGCACUGUCGAGAGAAGUUCCCCACCAUAAAGCAAAUAUAAGAGAAUGUGGUACCAUAUGAAGAU